AGCGAACGCUGGCGGCAGGCCUAACACAUGCAAGUCGAACGAACUCUUCGGAGUUAGUGGCGGACGGGUGAGUAACACGUGGGAACGUGCCUUUUGGUUCGGAAUAACUCAGGGAAACUUGUGCUAAUACCGAAUGUGCCCUUCGGGGGAAAGAUUUAUCGCCAUUAGAGCGGCCCGCGUCUGAUUAGCUAGUUGGUGAGGUAACGGCUCACCAAGGCGACGAUCAGUAGCUGGUCUGAGAGGAUGACCAGCCACACUGGGACUGAGACACGGCCCAGACUCCUACGGGAGGCAGCAGUUGGGGAUCUUGCGCAAUGGGCGGAAGCCUGACGCAGCCAUGCCGCGUGAAUGAUGAAGGUCUUAGGAUUGUAAAAUUCUUUCACCGGGGACGAUAAUGACGGUACCCGGAGAAGAAGCCCCGGCUAACUUCGUG
This 433-nucleotide ribosomal RNA is filed under the name uncultured bacterium. RNAcentral's name for it is "partial 16S ribosomal RNA". It matches the Rfam family "Bacterial small subunit ribosomal RNA", at positions 29 to 507 of the family's 1533-position model. The record is from RNAcentral.